RNAcentral lists this long non-coding RNA (1120 nucleotides) under Prunus dulcis (almond). Its description in RNAcentral is "sRNA ncRNA". Lineage: Eukaryota; Viridiplantae; Streptophyta; Magnoliopsida; Rosales; Rosaceae. The record is from RNAcentral.
AGCAAAGGACACUGUAUAAUUGAAGGCUCACCCGUGCUACAAUGGGGGCAAGAGUUGACUCCCCCAAUAAGAGAAAAAUUUCUAACUCUUUAUCUCUCACAAUUUAACGAUUGGAUGAAAACAUUCUAUGAUUGCACUUCUCCAUACACUCCGAAAGUUUUAUGUGGGCAUUAUCAAAAUCUUUUUUUAACAUUGCUUAUUGCAUCAUGUGACAAACGGAUUGAAUUGGAGGGCACAUGCUAAAUCCUUCGAACGGGGAUAUUUCAUUCCCACUUGAUUAUCUACAUAGUGUAAUAUAUUGUGGGUGCCAGAUUUUAAUCUCUCUGUUAUUAUCUCAAAAACAUUAAUCAUCACAAGGAUAUACUCGAUUGUCAUUCUCACGGUCAUACUCAUGACAACCCAAUUCUUUUGUUGUGAUGAGAUGGGGGCAGGCAGUUACAUGCUUCAAAUGAUAUCUUUUCUUAUCUCGCUUGAUUCUCUACUAAAAACUGGGACAUAAUUAACAUGUUUUGGCUGCCCAGAUUCUUUAUUAUCUCAAAAUACAGGAUGCAAUUGUUGGUUGAAAUGUUGUCCCCAUAUGUGCACAUUUGUCCGACUACAAUGAGGUGGUGUGAUUUCUAAACAAACAAAGACGCCAGGAGAACAGGGAAACUCAGAGGGAGAGGAAUAGCAGCAGACUCUAAACUGCAUCUCUUGAAAAUGAGGAGCCAGAAUGCCAAAUUUAUACUUGGAUGUGGACUACACAGAUAAGGACCAUCUCAUUCAUUUUGAUCAGUUUAGAAUUAAAUGGACUUGGUUCCUCUUUGACAAAAAGAGAAAAACGUUGAGCCACUAAUUUACAUGGUGCAUAGAAUCUGUUUCUUUGAAAUCUGGAUGCCCAUCUAUCCUACAAAUGCAUAUCGCAUUUGUAUACUUACACCUGAUGAUUUUGUAUACUUACACUUAUUGAUUGAUUGAAUGCUCAGAAGAAGAGUUUUUCAAAGCUAAUGUUUUGCUCAAAAAAGUUAGACUAAGAAACGCUUUAAUCGCACACUAGCAAAGAACUAUCCAGAAGACAACCAAUGCAAAAGUAAGGAUUGAAACACAUGCUUGUUGGUGUGCAUUCAAAGCUUCUAAGCCA